This 581-nucleotide ribosomal RNA is filed under the name uncultured bacterium. Its description in RNAcentral is "bacterial SSU rRNA". It matches the Rfam family "Bacterial small subunit ribosomal RNA", at positions 331 to 929 of the family's 1533-position model. The record is from RNAcentral.
CCAGACUCCUAUGGGAGGCAGCAGUGGGGAAUAUUGGACAAUGGACCGAGAGUCUGAUCCAGCAAUUCUGUGUGCACGAUGAAGUUUUUCGGAAUGUAAAGUGCUUUCAGUUGGGAAGAAAUAAAUGACGGUACCAACAGAAGAAGUGACGGCUAAAUACGUGCCAGCAGCCGCGGUAAUACGUAUGUCACGAGCGUUAUCCGGAUUUAUUGGGCGUAAAGCGCGUCUAGGUGGUUAUGUAAGUCUGAUGUGAAAAUGCAGGGCUCAACUCUGUAUUGCGUUGGAAACUGUAUAACUAGAGUACUGGAGAGGUAAGCGGAACUACAAGUGUAGAGGUGAAAUUCGUAGAUAUUUGUAGGAAUGCCGAUGGGGAAGCCAGCUUACUGGACAGAUACUGACGCUAAAGCGCGAAAGCGUGGGUAGCAAACAGGAUUAGAUACCCUGGUAGUCCACGCUGUAAACGAUGAUUACUAGGUGUUGGGGGUCGAACCUCAGCGCCCAAGCAAACGCGAUAAGUAAUCCGCCUGGGGAGUACGUACGCAAGUAUGAAACUCAAAGGAAUUGACGGGGGCCCGCACAAG